UAGGGGAGAGUGGGGCACGUUGAACAUAGGGGCACAUUGAACCAUUGGAUUUUUCAGGAAUAGUUUGUCUCCCAAUCAGCAGAUGUCUCUUGUGUACAACGCUCUUCAGAAGCUCCACUCAAGCACCAGUUGAGUGGCAGCCUUCAUUGAGGGAGGACGUGCUGGUUGGUUUUUUUUUUAAUAUUUGACCUACUUUGUUCAUCUGUUGAGGAAAUGGUGCGAAAGUAUCUUGCAAAAACUGAUCGAGGAAGAGCCGAUGGGAACUUAAUGGAGAGAGCUGUUGACGAAGUUGUCAAAGGAAAGUCCAUCAGGGAAGUUAGUCGUUUGCUGGAUGUAAACCGGAUUACAUUGUCAAGAUAUGUUAAGAAAUUCCAAGCAGGGCAAGCUGAAAAAACAAAAGACUAUGCUCCUAACUACAAUACCAGACAGGUAUUUACUGAAGAAGAAGAAGACGGACUUUCUGAAUAUAUCGUAACUUGCUCCCAGUUGUUUCAUGGCCUUGGCUUGACAGCAGUAAGACGACUUGCAUUUGAAUAUGCAAUGAAGAAAGAUAAAACUUGCCCAGAUUCUUGGAAACAUAACUGUAUGGCAGGAAAGGACUGGAUGGCUGGAUUUAUGAAACGUCAUUGCAAGAUCUCCCUUCGUUUACCAGAGUCAACCAGUGUGGCAAGAGUGCGUUUAUUUUACAUGUUUACCUUCUACAUUAAGCAUGCCAUGUACGAUUAUAAUAAAAAGGAACUUUAUAUUUUGUAUACAUCAAAAGAGGGAGAAAAUAUGUGUAUUCUGAAUGAAUUAUUAAAAUAUUUUUAUUUCUAGACUUUGUUUUUUAUUUUGCCUUCAUUAUUAAAGUUUAAAGACAUGGUUCAAUCUACCCCAUAGCAUGGUUCAAUGUACCCCGCCUAUGGGGCAGUUUGAACCAUUUUAGAAAAAAAAAAUAAUCUGCCAAAUUUUCCACUAUGAAAACAAGAUAUAUCAAUCAUUCCUAUUGUCAACUUUGGGUAGAAGGAUGAAGAUGAAUAUCGCAUGGGAGAAACAUAAGUUUAGCCGAAAGAUAUUUGCCUAUGACCAGAUAUGUCCAAAACCUGUUCAACGUGCCCCACUCUC
Long non-coding RNA from Eriocheir sinensis (Chinese mitten crab), 1104 nucleotides. RefSeq lists it as uncharacterized. The transcript has 3 exons. The record is from RefSeq and is a predicted model, not a curated record. Lineage: Eukaryota; Metazoa; Arthropoda; Malacostraca; Decapoda; Varunidae.